This 1310-nucleotide ribosomal RNA is filed under the name Staphylococcus aureus. Its description in RNAcentral is "partial 23S ribosomal RNA". It matches the Rfam family "Bacterial large subunit ribosomal RNA", at positions 149 to 1461 of the family's 2925-position model. Lineage: Bacteria; Bacillati; Bacillota; Bacilli; Caryophanales; Staphylococcaceae. The record is from RNAcentral.
UAUCGAUAUGUGAAUACAUAGCAUAUCAGAAGGCACACCCGGAGAACUGAAACAUCUUAGUACCCGGAGGAAGAGAAAGAAAAUUCGAUUCCCUUAGUAGCGGCGAGCGAAACGGGAAGAGCCCAAACCAACAAGCUUGCUUGUUGGGGUUGUAGGACACUCUAUACGGAGUUAUAAAGGACGACAUUAGACGAAUCAUCUGGAAAGAUGAAUCAAAGAAGGUAAUAAUCCUGUAGUCGAAAAUGUUGUCUCUCUUGAGUGGAUCCUGAGUACGACGGAGCACGUGAAAUUCCGUCGGAAUCUGGGAGGACCAUCUCCUAAGGCUAAAUACUCUCUAGUGACCGAUAGUGAACCAGUACCGUGAGGGAAAGGUGAAAAGCACCCCGGAAGGGGAGUGAAAUAGAACCUGAAACCGUGUGCUUACAAGUAGUCAGAGCCCGUUAAUGGGUGAUGGCGUGCCUUUUGUAGAAUGAACCGGCGAGUUACGAUUUGAUGCAAGGUUAAGCAGUAAAUGUGGAGCCGUAGCGAAAGCGAGUCUGAAUAGGGCGUUUAGUAUUUGGUCGUAGACCCGAAACCAGGUGAUCUACCCUUGGUCAGGUUGAAGUUCAGGUAACACUGAAUGGAGGACCGAACCGACUUACGUUGAAAAGUGAGCGGAUGAACUGAGGGUAGCGGAGAAAUUCCAAUCGAACCUGGAGAUAGCUGGUUCUCUCCGAAAUAGCUUUAGGGCUAGCCUCAAGUGAUGAUUAUUGGAGGUAGAGCACUGUUUGGACGAGGGGCCCCUCUCGGGUUACCGAAUUCAGACAAACUCCGAAUGCCAAUUAAUUUAACUUGGGAGUCAGAACAUGGGUGAUAAGGUCCGUGUUCGAAAGGGAAACAGCCCAGACCACCAGCUAAGGUCCCAAAAUAUAUGUUAAGUGGAAAAGGAUGUGGCGUUGCCCAGACAACUAGGAUGUUGGCUUAGAAGCAGCCAUCAUUUAAAGAGUGCGUAAUAGCUCACUAGUCGAGUGACACUGCGCCGAAAAUGUACCGGGGCUAAACAUAUUACCGAAGCUGUGGAUUGUCCUUUGGACAAUGGUAGGAGAGCGUUCUAAGGGCGUUGAAGCAUGAUCGUAAGGACAUGUGGAGCGCUUAGAAGUGAGAAUGCCGGUGUGAGUAGCGAAAGACGGGUGAGAAUCCCGUCCACCGAUUGACUAAGGUUUCCAGAGGAAGGCUCGUCCGCUCUGGGUUAGUCGGGUCCUAAGCUGAGGCCGACAGGCGUAGGCGAUGGAUAACAGGUUGAUAUUCCUGUACCACCUAUAAUCGUUUUA